This 373-nucleotide ribosomal RNA is filed under the name uncultured Glomeromycotina. RNAcentral describes it as "LSU rRNA". Lineage: Eukaryota; Fungi; Glomeromycota. The record is from RNAcentral.
UUGAAAGGGAAACGAUUGAAGUCAGUCGUACCAGCGGGAAAUCAACCUUUCGGGUGGGAUUUUGGAGUUUUGAAGAGUGUUAAAACCUUUGAGAUUUCAAAAUUUUCGCUCCUUUGGUGUACUUUCUCGUGGGUAGGUUAACAUCGAUUUCGAUCAUCAUAAAAGGAUUGGAGGAAUGUAGCUUCGAUCUUGUAUUGAAGUGUUAUAGCCUUCGGUAGAUGUGGUGAUCGAGAUUGAGGAUUGCAACGGAUACCUUUCGGGGCUACCUGUCUGAUCUCUGAUCGUUGCUUUGGUGCUGAAAGCGUGCUUAUAGUUAUCAAAGUCGAUGGUCAAUAGGUUAGAAUGGGUUAAAUUCGUUAAGGAUGUUGACGUA